UACGGGGGGGGCAAGCGUUGUUCGGAUUUACUGGGCGUAAAGGGCGCGUAGGCGGCGCAACAAGUCACUUGUGAAAUCUCCGGGCUUAACCCGGAGCGGCCAAGUGAUACUGUCGUGCUAGAGUGCGGAAGGGGCUACUGGAAUUCUCGGUGUAGCGGUGAAAUGCGUAGAUAUCGAGAGGAACACCUGCGGCGAAGGCGGGUAGCUGGGCCGACACUGACGCUGAGGCGCGAAAGCCAGGGGAGCGAACGGG
Molecule: ribosomal RNA, 253 nt
Filed under: uncultured bacterium
Lineage: Bacteria
Description: partial 16S ribosomal RNA
Rfam family: Bacterial small subunit ribosomal RNA
Source: RNAcentral